Molecule: small RNA, 287 nt
Filed under: Anabaena cylindrica PCC 7122
Lineage: Bacteria; Bacillati; Cyanobacteriota; Cyanophyceae; Nostocales; Nostocaceae
Description: 5' ureB small RNA
Rfam family: 5' ureB small RNA
Source: Rfam by way of RNAcentral
CAACUUCAAUCUGUUGGGGACAAAUAAAAUGAAUGUGAGAAUCAAUUCCCCCAGCCGUCAGAAUCAUUCCUUCCCCUGCUAAAGCUUCGGUUCCGGGUCCAAUAAUAAUAUCUAUGUUGUCUUGAAUAUAGGGAUUUCCAGCUUUACCAAUUUUGUGAAUUUUGCCGUCUUUAAUACCAAUAUCCGCUUUCACAAUUCCCCACCAAUCGAGAAUUAAGGCGUUAGUAAUAACUAAGUCUACUGCACCAUCAUGAUUAGAAAUGGGGGAUUGUCCCAUUCCGUCUCUG